AUGACACUUGGGAGUAGGUCUAGGCACAGCACCAGACUCCAGAGGCCCAGAGAAGUUUGUUCUCACAGCAUCGUUACCUCUCAGUCGGAACCUUUACACAGUAAAGGACAGGGAGACACAGUGCUGAGGACUAGAUGGUGUUGGGGGAGGGCAGAAGAACAGCAGGAGCCUCCAGAAGCUAUCCUCAACCCCUGGCCUGUGUUCCCAACACCCAUGCUUGGGUCUAAGCCACCUCCAUCUGUUUCCAUGGGCUUCUCAUCUCUUGUCUCUUACCGCCAUGUAAAAAGUAAAAUUUCUUCUCAUGCCCGAAAGUUAUAAAGCUCUUAUGUGGCCAUAUGAACUUCAAAGCAUUUAAGUUUCUUAUGGAUGUUAUAUGAUUAAAUGUGUGGCAUCCUGAAUAUUGAAUAUCACAGUAAAGAACGUGGAACUGUUGAGAAAGACAUUUAUAAUGGCUCUAACAUACAAUAUCACACACUUGGUUUGGGCCAGUAAGAUCUUGAUAACAUGCUUCGUUUUUUUAAGUUUUAACAAAGGGUCACCAAUGACAUGAGCAUUUAUAAGAAACCACUUCCAAACGAUGAAUAUCUUAGAUGAGCAAAGCUGAAAGAAUUUCAAAUUCCCAAUUCAUCUUCUUACUAUUCAUGCUGUUUCUCGGUUUAUUACUUCAAACAGAGGAGUGAACGGAAAUAAUUUGGUUAUUUUUAUCUUGGUGCCUCUGAGGCUGUCCUGUACUCUCUGAAUCGGAACCUUUUGUGCUUCAAAAAAACUCAAGAGUUGCAAAUAUUCCAAAGGUGCCAAAGUGAUACGUUUCUUUUUUUCAACUUGUAAAGAUAUAGUCCAAUUUGGUAAACAUUAACCUUGUCAUUUAGAAUAAAAUAUAAUCGCUAUAAGAGCUCAAAAUUUUGCAUGAUCAAAGUGCUAUAUGCAAUAAGUACAAGAAAAUAAGAAAUCAGUCAUCAAAAAGGGCAAACAUGAACUCCAUAAAAGCGCAAAAUAAGGCACAAUCUAAGCACGAAGGAAUUGGUGAAAUAAUAAUAAAUAUUUUCAAAGGAAACAAAUCAAGAACUAAAAACUUAGACACGCUUAAAGAGGAAAGAGGAAUGUUCAAAUCAGAUAAUUAGAUGAGCGUAUUUGGGAAACAACAUUGUUUUCGUUAUUUUACCUAAAAUGUGAGACAAUAGUAAUAGAAAUGUUAUUCCUGGCAACCAAUUGUCACAAAUGAAACACAGUACGAGGGGAUCAAACUAUCCCAACUUAGCUACAGCAUUUGCCAAGAGCCUGAAAAAAUGUUAAGGAAAAAAUGCAAAGGAAACACCAAGAAACAAAUGACUGCCGGCCGAGUCACCUCACUUCAGAAGAGCCCGCGGUGGAAAGGUCACGACCUUUGGGAAACAGGACAUGCUCCAGGUGAGAUUGCGCUGGACAUGGACUUUCCUGACACCAAAAAACAUCAAUCCAACACAGGAGCUUUGCCCAUAUGCCUCUUCUCUCCACCUUUUCUAAGUGCAUAAAGCAAAUAGUACAUCUUGAAAGACUCAUUAUGAGAUGAACAGAUCUUCAAGGGAGCAUCACUGACCACAGGCGUUGCAAACAAGCUGCCAGCUGGCUGAAGCAGCUUCCUUUUCAUUAAACAUUUCUGAAUGCCCGACAGUUUUAUGUAAAUGUAAUUUGUUAAAAAAUGAUUCUGCAGGAAGAAAAAAUAAGGUUGUCAACUAAUGGCUGAUGAGGAUUUGUUGUAAUUAUUUAACACUACAUGACCACAAAAUCUUGAAAAUUCAAAUAAAUGGAAAACAGGAUUAAAAUAUAAUCAAUAAUAACACACACCCGAUGCGUGUAUGCACAUGGAUGCUCUUGAGGGGUAGUUUUGACAGUCACGGUGAUCGCCUCGAGCCCUGGUAGGACUUCGGAUGAGGUGGAUCGUGUCCCAGGUCACAGCAGGGAAAUCAGCAAAGGCAGAAAGAUCUGCACAAAUUCUAGGGUUAAGGUAAACCGUGUGACCUUAGAAUAAAGCCUAGAUCCUGUUCUUUCAACUGAGUGCCCUGGGGAGUGACAGAAAUGGCAGAGGGCUGUGGCUUCGGCUUUCUGUGCUCCUGCUGGAAGGGAGUAUAGAGAUGUGGGGGGGGGUGUGGCUAGACUAUGGGUGUCUGGCUCUCCUAGUCGAUAUGGUCCUGUACACAGUGUUUUCUCAUGUUGUCACAGUGAUGAUGUAUUGUUAUAGCAGGUGGUUAGUCAGACAUGAGCAGGGCAGGAGAGGGCACCCCCACCCUCACCGGGAAUGUCAGGCAGCCAUCAGGUGAUGGUCAGGUGGUUGCUGUCUCUCUAAAAUAAUAAUUUGUCACAGCCGGUACCAGGGAAAGGCAGUCUUCCAAUAGACAGCAACUCCCGAAUUGCGAUCAGCAGCUUCCGGAUAGGAUCUUAGAAUCUGGGCGAGCGGGCUCGAGCAGGUGCACUAAAAGGCAAAAUGGUGGAGUUUAAGUGGU
Long non-coding RNA from Callithrix jacchus (white-tufted-ear marmoset), 2480 nucleotides. The record is from Ensembl. NCBI's taxonomy places the organism in Eukaryota, Metazoa, Chordata, Mammalia, Primates, Cebidae.